Molecule: long non-coding RNA, 105 nt
Organism: Limulus polyphemus (Atlantic horseshoe crab)
Lineage: Eukaryota; Metazoa; Arthropoda; Merostomata; Xiphosura; Limulidae
Exons: 3
Source: RefSeq, a predicted model, not a curated record
CUACCACUUCAUCCCUGCUUAGUUUGGAAAGACGGUCUGAUCUGGAUAGUGACUGUUUGGUAUGAAGCACAUUCCACUUCUUAAUGAUGGACUUCACCAUACUCA